AACGAACGCUGGCGGUAUGCUUAACACAUGCAAGUCGAACGAACAAAAUUGGGGCUUGCUCCAAUUCUAGUGAGAGGCAAACGGGUGAGUAACACGUGGGCAUCUACCUAUCAGUACGGAAUAACAUUUGGAAACAGAUGCUAAUAACGUAGAUUCUGCAAGGAGGAAAGAUUUAUCGCUGAUAGAUGAGGCCGCGUAAGAUGAGGUAUUGGGUAGGGUAAUGGCAUACCAAGGCGACGACCUUUAGCUGGUCUGAGAGGAUGAUCAGCCACACUGAGACUGAGACACGGCCCAGACUCCUACGGGAGGCAGCAGUGGAAAAUAUGGGACAAUGGGCGAAAGCCUGAUCCAGCAAUACCGCGUGAAUGAUGAAGGCCUUAGGGUUGUAAAGUUCUUUUAGUUGGAAAGAUAAUGACGGUACCAACAGAAAAAGCCCCGGCUAACUCCGUGCCAGCAGCCGCGGUAA
RNAcentral lists this ribosomal RNA (466 nucleotides) under uncultured bacterium. RNAcentral describes it as "partial 16S ribosomal RNA". It matches the Rfam family "Bacterial small subunit ribosomal RNA", at positions 29 to 523 of the family's 1533-position model. The record is from RNAcentral.